Long non-coding RNA from Cydia splendana, 1084 nucleotides. RefSeq lists it as uncharacterized. Lineage: Eukaryota; Metazoa; Arthropoda; Insecta; Lepidoptera; Tortricidae. The record is from RefSeq and is a predicted model, not a curated record. The transcript has 3 exons.
UUGAUUUGGCCGACUAGCCGACUAGCCGACUAAUCGGCGCUCGAUUGGCCGAUUAGUCGGCCGACUAGUCGGCUAGUCGGCCAGGUCAUUAGUUUCGUAUAAUUUCAGGUGAAAAACAAUAGUUUUGCUCCUUUGGUUGCGCUAUUCAUCAUAUUAGCUUGGAUAAAAGGUAUUCUCUACAGGUUCAAAGACCUAUCACAAGAAUCCUCGUUCAAUUUCUGUCUUUCUUUUAUUUUGCGAUCCUGAGCAGACCGUCAGUACAACUUGUAGGAGGUAUUUCCAAGGCUCUAUUUCCCGUACGUAGUCGCCAGUUAAGAACCCAUCCCCUGUGGUCAGCGUCUUUACGAGCAACGUGCCCUGUUUAUAAGUCUCUAAAUUUUGCAAUAAUAUUAACAGUUCCCCAUGGCUCCACCAUUAAAAAAAAAAACAAAAACUGAAUAAUAAUAAAAUCAUUUAACUAUAGAACUUGGCCAUGAAAUUACACGAGAAUCAGUUGAGAUCGACCUGUAGAGGAAAACACCAGCCCACCAUACGAUAACGAUCAAACGGUCAAUUAUUUCAAACUUUUCGUCUGCACCCUGAAUAGGUAUUUUGGUAAAAUAUACAUAAAACAUAUGGCAAAUAUUGACUGUUGAUUUCUUUUUUUUUCCGUUUUCUUUCACUAAUAAAGUGCCGACUAAUCGGCCAUUUUUGCCGACUAGUCGCCGACUAAUCGCCGACUACAAAUGUGGCCGGAUAGUCGGCUUUCCCGACUAGUCGGCGACUAGUCGGUACAUCCCUAAUUUAUAUUCAAAUUUCGUCAAGUGGACGAAAACUAGAGCUGGACGAAAACAAGCGCAAUGACCCUAUACGUUUUUAGGAAAGGAUAUUCGUUAAAAAAACUAAAUGAUUAAACAAAAAAAAUUAAAAGUAUUUUGUAUUUUGUAUUUGAAAUACAUUAUUUUAAACACUGUAAUUUGUAUUUUGUAUUUCAAAUACCAGUCACCAAAGUAGUUUGUAUUUGGUAUUUCAAAUACUUUUAAAAAUGUAUUUUGUAAUUUGUAUUUGAAAUACGUGGAAGCCAGUAUUUUGCCCAACCCUGCUA